Nerophis lumbriciformis (worm pipefish) is the source of this 479-nucleotide non-coding RNA. The record is from RefSeq and is a predicted model, not a curated record. Lineage: Eukaryota; Metazoa; Chordata; Actinopteri; Syngnathiformes; Syngnathidae.
GUGGGAUUCACCCUGGAUAACCUUAGCCGGCUUAGUGUAAACGGGGCCUUAAAGAGAAAGUGUGAACGACAGUCAAAGGGGGGAGGGGCCAAGUGACGCGUUGACUGUACUACAUUUUUGAAGACUGGUCCAAUCUCCUGGAUCAUGUCCGAGGUGGUUGUGGACCUGCCGUGUCGCUGGAACGCUUGUCUGUUGCACUGUCUGUGUAUUACCCUGUGAUGAGUCCUGCUUGAGAGGCAGCGUGGGCCCAGUGUGCCAGCACACCAGCAGAACCAGACAGAAGAUCCCCCUGUCCUCCACAUCGCCUCGCGCUACCCUCUGUGCUGCACGUAACAACUGCAAACCAGGAAAGGGACAGUCUCCCGUACUCUCAGAGUACACAUCCUGAGCAUCCUCCGCAUCCUCGUCCAAGCCGUCCACGGCCUCCUCCCCGCCGGCCCCGCUGUCUAUGAACUCCUGGGGGUCCACUAGGGCGGGCC